This 447-nucleotide ribosomal RNA is filed under the name uncultured bacterium. RNAcentral's name for it is "bacterial SSU rRNA". It matches the Rfam family "Bacterial small subunit ribosomal RNA", at positions 330 to 794 of the family's 1533-position model. The record is from RNAcentral.
UCCAGACUCCUACGGGAGGCAGCAGUCGGGAAUAUUGCGCAAUGGAGGAAACUCUGACGCAGUGACGCCGCGUAUAGGAAGAAGGUUUUCGGAUUGUAAACUAUUGUCGUGAGGGAAGAAGAUGACAGUACCUCAGGAGGAAGCUCCGGCUAACUAUGUGCCAGCAGCCGCGGUAAUACAUAGGGAGCAAGCGUUAUCCGGAUUUACUGGGUGUAAAGGGAGCGUAGACGGCAGCACAAGUCUGGAGUGAAAUCCCGGGGCUUAACCCCGGAACUGCUUUGGAAACUGUGCGGCUGGAGUGCAGGAGGGGUAAGCGGAAUUCCUAGUGUAGCGGUGAAAUGCGUAGAUAUUAGGAGGAACACCGGUGGCGAAGGCGGCUUACUGGACUGUAACUGACGUUGAGGCUCGAAAGCGUGGGGAGCAAACAGGAUUAGAUACCCGCGUAGU